This 72-nucleotide transfer RNA is filed under the name Blattella germanica (German cockroach). RNAcentral describes it as "tRNA-Thr (TGT) (tRNA-Thr-TGT-13-1)". It matches the Rfam family "tRNA". From Rfam's summary of the family: Transfer RNA (tRNA) molecules are approximately 80 nucleotides in length. Their secondary structure includes four short double-helical elements and three loops (D, anti-codon, and T loops). Further hydrogen bonds mediate the characteristic L-shaped molecular structure. tRNAs have two regions of fundamental functional importance: the anti-codon, which is responsible for specific mRNA codon recognition, and the 3' end, to which the tRNAs corresponding amino acid is attached (by aminoacyl-tRNA synthetases). tRNAs cope with the degeneracy of the genetic code in two manners: having more than one tRNA (with a specific anti-codon) for a particular amino acid; and 'wobble' base-pairing, i.e. permitting non-standard base-pairing at the 3rd anti-codon position. The record is from RNAcentral. Lineage: Eukaryota; Metazoa; Arthropoda; Insecta; Blattodea; Blattellidae.
GCCUCUUUGGCUCAGUGGUAGAGAACUGGUCUUGUAAACCAGUGGUCGUGAGUUCGAUUCUCACAGGAGGCA